GUGCCAGCCGCCGCGGUAAUACAGAGGUCCCGAGCGUUGUUCUGAUUCAUUGGGCGUAAAGGGUGCGUAGGUGGCAUGGUAAGUCGGGUGUGAAAUCUCAGGGCUCAACUCCGAAAUGGCAUUGGAAACUACCCUGCUAGAGGAUUGGAGGGGGGACUGGAAUGCUUGGUGUAGCAGUGAAAUGCGUAGAUAUCAAGCGGAACACCAGUGGCGAAGGCGAGUCCCUGGACAACUCCUGACACUGAGGCACGAAAGCGUGGGGAGCAAACAGGAUUAGAUACCCUGGUAGUCC
Molecule: ribosomal RNA, 292 nt
Filed under: uncultured bacterium
Lineage: Bacteria
Description: partial 16S ribosomal RNA
Rfam family: Bacterial small subunit ribosomal RNA
Source: RNAcentral